UAAGUAAAAACAAUCAAUAAGAAUAUAUAUAAAAAGUCCCUAUAUAAUAAAAAUACAAAUCACUAUAUAUUAAUAAUAACGAAUACAAAACUUUAGCAAUAAGAUUAUAGAGUUAUGACUUGGGAAAUACCAGUCUUCGUCCACAAUAUAUAACAUUAAAUAUAAAUCAUUUAUUUAAAACUUAUAUGAUAAUAUUUAAAUUAUAUAUUUAAAAAAUAAAAAAACUUAUCCAUCAAUGUGCGGGUCAAACUCUAGUUUUGGAUUAUUAGACAGCUUUCUUGUUGUCUCUGCUAGAUCUCUGGUUAGCAAAUGAUUAAUCAAAAUGGUGGGAUCAGGAUCAUCUAUAUUUGUAUAGAAUGAUCAUUGACUUCCAUCCACUUGUCUGAGACCAAAAAAUAAAAACAACACAAGCUUUACCCGGACCUUACUGUGGAUUCUUUCAUCAAUGCAACUUCGAGAACAUAAAAUUUACAGGCAAUUCCAAACAUGGUGGAUCCUCAGGAUGCAGAGUUUAUUGAAAUUAUACCAUUAAGUCGAGUUCAGACAGCUGACCAGGAUGGAUGGCAUUUCACUAAUAAUGGGAGAUACACUGUUAAAUCUGGAUAUCAAGUGGAAUGUGUAUACCAGGAUGUAUAGCGGUUAAAGAAAAAUUGAGAGCAAGAGGAAUUCGAGGAGAUACAACUUGUGUAUGAUGUGAAGCACCUGAAGGAUCUAAAAAUCAUGUGUUUUUUGAAUGUCCACCGGCGGUUCAGGUUUGGGCGUUCUCAGGGAUCCCAUCGAAUCCAAUUAUUUUUCUUACUCAUUUUUUCUUCACAAAUAUGAAUCAUUUAUUUUGGAGAGUUUUCCCACAUAUGGAAGAUCAUCAAUAUGCAUGGAUUUUAUGUACAUAUGGAAAGGAAAAAAAUAAUAAUUUUUUUAGCAAUUUGGAUAUUGAUCCCAAAAAUAACCUAAACUCGGCAGAAACAGAAUCACUACUUUGGGCUGAGGCACAAGCCUCACUUACACAAGGGACUGAUCAACAUAGGCCGGUAGAGGAGUGAAUAUUACCGAGCAUACAAGGUAGAUGGUGUUUUACGGAUGGAUCGUGUAAAGCUCAAGAAAAUUAUUCUGGUCAAGGGUGGUAUAGUACAUUACCAGUUUUGAUGGUUUAAUGGGGGCGAGGAAUGCACGAGCGAGUUAAUCACCACUUCACUCAGAAGUGGAAGCUCUUAUUUGGGCAAUAAAAUGUAUGAAGAAUUUAAGACAGUUUAAUGUUACAUUUGCAACGAAUUAUUCUCAAUUAGUGAAAGAUGGUUUCGGAUAUAGAAGAGUGGCCGGAAUUUGCAAGUUAUUUGGAAGACAUCAAGAUACUGAAAGAAAAUUUUCACAUCUCAUAGAUCAUUUAUAUACCACGGACACAUAAUUUACGAGUGGGGAGCCUUGCACGUAGUGUAAGAAAACAAUCGUCUUUUGUUGUCCACGUGAAUGCGGAGUUGCCAGUUUGGUUUGCAGAAUCUAUAUGAAUUUGUUUUCAUGUUGAUGACAGAAAAAGAGUCUUCUGGUUAUAGUAGGAUUUAGGAAGAAAAGUUGUUUCAUUGAUUAUCACAAACUGUUUGUUCACAAAAGUUAUUAAUAGGAGACUAGACAUUAUACUAAAGCUUCAAUAUGAAGUUGUAGAACAGCCAACCAAAGAGGGUUUCUUCUGGCUUCUGGGCUCUACUUGAACAUGUUUGGUAGAGGUCUGACGGCCAUGAUGGCUUCCACCAUUUCAUCAGUGACAGCAGCUCGAGCCUUGCGGUGUCUCUCCACUAUUUCUGUCAAAACAUCAGUGAGUCGUUGCUUUACCGCUCCAGAUUGCAUUCUUCCUUCUCCAUAUUCCUGAAACACAUGAAGACAGAUGAAUAUUCUUUAUUCUAUGUAAUGAAUAAUGAUCUAAUACCAAGAGCUAGAGAGGCAAGUGUAACAUAACUUACCUUCUUUAUGUGCUCAAGUUCAGUGUCAUCAUCUAGGAAGAAACUCAGGUACUUGAAAGGUAUGUCUACCUGUGAUAUAGUAAAAGAAGAAUACAAGAGAUAAAGACUCAAGUUUGCUAUAGCACCAAAACUGAUAAUAUCAAGUAUCAAGAACAAUCUUGCAAGAAUCAGUUACUUAAAUAGUCAAUUAUACUUGACGAAAAAUCUUUCUAAAUUUCCAAUGAGAGGAACCAAUGCACAUUUAGUAGUAUAUAUCUAACUAAAUAAUAUCCUUUCCUAACUUUCAGUUGCCCUAUAACUACAUGACUAACACUGGAACACAACUCAUGUGAGUUGACACUAUAAAGUGUAAAAGAAGAGAAUUUGGUACCUCCAGAUCUGCUCCAGCAUUUUCUUGAGAUGGCUUGAUUCGUUUAUCUGUUUGUGUUUCUUGUUCUGCUUAUGUAAUGGACAUGAUGAUCUGCCUGAUGAUCCUGAGGAAGGUGAAGCGUUUAGUGUAGUAUCUUUUUUGUUGUUGUUGUUUUCUCUGUAUGAUUUAGAAAACAUGGCCACGGUUUUUAAGUGGAAGAUCGUGUGGAAUUGUUUGAUGGUUCAUUGGUCUUUGAUUCUCUAUAAAGUUUUGAGCUUUACUUGUCUUGUCUUCUUUUUUUUCUUACUGCCUUCAAACUGAUGAUGAUGAUGAUCUUUGUUUCUUUAUAAAGAAUGUAAGAUUUACAAAUACAUGAUCAUAUGGAAUUGCUUGUUGGCUAAUUGCUCUUUGUUUCUUUAUAAAAUAAAAAAAAAUCUGAGUUUUGGUUUUGAUUAGCAUUGCAGAUUGGGUUUCAAUCUUUUCAAUCCUUUGUUAAUACAGAGGCAACAAAGAUGGAUUGACCAGGCUUUGAGCUUGGAAGUGACCAAGCUUCAUUCUCUUCACAGCAAACAAACGAACAGAAGCAGCUAUCUAUGCAUGGAAAGAGAGGAUUAUAGAACAAGCAAGCAGUAGUAAGUGGUCAUUAGUUAGAGAUUCAUUGUCUGAGAUUAGUUUCAUUGAAUCGCUUAUAAACAGGCUGGUCAGAUUAAAUCCAAAUACUCUAAUCUCCUUCAAUGAAAUUGUUUUAUAAUUUUUUUUUAAAAACCCAUAAUCAAAAGACUUGUAAUAAACCACCUAAAUGUUCAAAUCUUUUUCUAAGUUUCUUAACUCA
Molecule: long non-coding RNA, 3133 nt
Organism: Raphanus sativus (radish)
Lineage: Eukaryota; Viridiplantae; Streptophyta; Magnoliopsida; Brassicales; Brassicaceae
Exons: 2
Source: RefSeq, a predicted model, not a curated record